AUAGUCAAUAUUGAAUUUAAUAUGACCUAUAACUUAAUUCUCAAUUAACUAAAUCUAUUUAUUCAAUCAAGUCUUAUACUUCAAAAUAGAUGUUAAGUCAAUUCUUUCCUAUGUUGCUUGACUUUGUGCGUGACUCCGUAGGUUCGAACACUAAGUCGAUAGUAUAGAAACUAUUUUCUAUGCUAUCGAAGUGACCAUCUAGCAUGAUACCCGACGUCC
This 219-nucleotide long non-coding RNA is filed under the name Elaeis guineensis (African oil palm). Its description in RNAcentral is "long non-coding RNA (EGUI_LNC045674)". The record is from RNAcentral. Lineage: Eukaryota; Viridiplantae; Streptophyta; Magnoliopsida; Arecales; Arecaceae.